UACAGAGGGUGCGAGCGUUAAUCGGAUUUACUGGGCGUAAAGCGUGCGUAGGUGGUUUGUUAAGUCUGUCGUGAAAGCCCUGGGCUCAACCUGGGAACUGCGAUGGAAACUGGCUGACUAGAGUGUGGCAGAGGGUAGUGGAAUUCCUGGUGUAGCAGUGAAAUGCGUAGAGAUCAGGAGGAACAUCCGUGGCGAAGGCGACUGCCUGGGCCAACACUGACACUGAGGCACGAAAGCGUGGGGAGCAAACAGG
This 253-nucleotide ribosomal RNA is filed under the name uncultured Lysobacteraceae bacterium. RNAcentral's name for it is "uncultured Xanthomonadaceae bacterium partial 16S ribosomal RNA". It matches the Rfam family "Bacterial small subunit ribosomal RNA", at positions 524 to 776 of the family's 1533-position model. The record is from RNAcentral. Lineage: Bacteria; Pseudomonadati; Pseudomonadota; Gammaproteobacteria; Lysobacterales; Lysobacteraceae.